RNAcentral lists this ribosomal RNA (1064 nucleotides) under Listeria monocytogenes. RNAcentral's name for it is "bacterial LSU rRNA". It matches the Rfam family "Bacterial large subunit ribosomal RNA", at positions 1 to 1057 of the family's 2925-position model. Lineage: Bacteria; Bacillati; Bacillota; Bacilli; Caryophanales; Listeriaceae. The record is from RNAcentral.
UUGGUUAAGUUAGAAAGGGCGCACGGUGGAUGCCUUGGCACUAGGAGCCGAAGAAGGACGGGACUAACACCGAUAUGCUUUGGGGAGCUGUACGUAAGCGUUGAUCCAGAGAUUUCCGAAUGGGGGAACCCACUAUCUUUAGUCGGAUAGUAUCCUUACGUGAAUACAUAGCGUGAGGAAGGCAGACCCAGGGAACUGAAACAUCUAAGUACCUGGAGGAAGAGAAAGAAAAAUCGAUUUCCUGAGUAGCGGCGAGCGAAACGGAAAGAGCCCAAACCAAGAAGCUUGCUUCUUGGGGUUGUAGGACACUCUAUACGGAGUUACAAAAGAAAGUUAUAAAUGAAGCGGUCUGGAAAGGCCCGCCAAAGACGGUAACAGCCCGGUAGUUGAAAUGGCUUUCCCUCCAGAGUGGAUCCUGAGUACGGCGGAACACGUGAAAUUCCGUCGGAAUCCGGGAGGACCAUCUCCCAAGGCUAAAUACUCCCUAGUGACCGAUAGUGAACCAGUACCGUGAGGGAAAGGUGAAAAGCACCCCGGAAGGGGAGUGAAACAGUUCCUGAAACCGUGUGCCUACAAGUAGUUAGAGCCCGUUAAUGGGUGAUAGCGUGCCUUUUGUAGAAUGAACCGGCGAGUUACGAUUUGUUGCAAGGUUAAGCGGAAAAAGCGGAGCCGUAGCGAAAGCGAGUCUGAAUAGGGCGCAUAAGUAACAGGUCGUAGACCCGAAACCAGGUGAUCUACCCAUGUCCAGGAUGAAGGUAAGGUAAUACUUACUGGAGGUCCGAACCCACGCACGUUGAAAAGUGCGGGGAUGAGGUGUGGGUAGCGGAGAAAUUCCAAUCGAACUUGGAGAUAGCUGGUUCUCUCCGAAAUAGCUUUAGGGCUAGCCUCGAGGUAAAGAGUCAUGGAGGUAGAGCACUGUUUGGACUAGGGGCCCUUCUCGGGUUACCGAAUUCAGAUAAACUCCGAAUGCCAUGUACUUAUACUCGGGAGUCAGACUGCGAGUGAUAAGAUCCGUAGUCGAAAGGGAAACAGCCCAGACCACCAGUUAAGGUCCCCAAAUAUAU